This is a long non-coding RNA of Drosophila grimshawi, 251 nucleotides long. RefSeq lists it as uncharacterized. NCBI's taxonomy places the organism in Eukaryota, Metazoa, Arthropoda, Insecta, Diptera, Drosophilidae. The record is from RefSeq and is a predicted model, not a curated record. The transcript has 3 exons.
GAUCAGCAUUAAAAUUUAUACGGUCGCACUGAACAUGGAUCUUACUGCGUGUCUUGCAGAUCUCUCAAUGUUCGUUUUGUUCCUGUUUAUUUUUGGACUAGUUGUUUUGAGGUUUCGACGUUUCACGUUUCCCAUAAUUGGCUAGAGACUGGUCUCAUUGUUGAAAUUGUGGUUGUGGUUGUGGCAUAAUUUAAUGGAUGGAUGACGGCAUGGAUGGAAUGGAAUGGAAUGAAAGGGGGAAAAUAGGGAAC